RNAcentral lists this ribosomal RNA (408 nucleotides) under uncultured bacterium. RNAcentral's name for it is "partial 16S ribosomal RNA". It matches the Rfam family "Bacterial small subunit ribosomal RNA", at positions 28 to 526 of the family's 1533-position model. The record is from RNAcentral.
GACGAACGCUGGCGGCGUGCUUAACACAUGCAAGUCGAACGAAGUGGCGCACGGGUGAGUAACGCGUAAUCAACCUGCCCUUCAGCGGGGGACAACCGUUGGAAACGACUGCUAAUACCGCAUACUGAAGGAGGGGAUUGCGUCUGAUUAGCUAGUUGGAGGGGUAACGGCCCACCAAGGCGAUGAUAGGGAGCCGGGCUGGAAGGAUGAACGGCCCCAUUGGGACCGGGACACGGCCCAGAAUCCUACGGGAGGCAGCAGUGGGGAAUCUUCCGCAAUGGACGAAAGUCGGACUGAGCAACGCCGCGUGAGUGAGGACGGCCUUCGGGUUGUAAAGCUCUGUUAAUCGGGACGCGGUACCGGAAUAGAAAGCCACGGCUAACUACGUGCCAGCAGCCGCGGUAAUAC